CAGCAGGCCGCGGUAAUACGGAGGGUCCRAGCGUUAUCCGGAAUUAUUGGGUUUAAAGGGUUCCGUAGGCGGAUGAUUAAGUCAGGGGUGAAAGYYYGCRGCUCAACUGURAAAUUGCCUUUGAUACUGGUCAUCUUGAGUUGUAUUGAAGUAGGCGGAAUAUGUAGUGUAGCGGUGAAAUGCAUAGAUAUUACAUAGAACACCAAUUGCGAAGGCAGCUUACUARGUACUAACUGACGCUGAUGGACGAAAGCGUGGGUAGCGAACAGGAUUAGAUACCCUGGUAGUCCACGCCGUAAACGAUGGAUACUAGCUGUUCGGGACCUUGAGUUCUGAGCGGCUAAGCGAAAGUGAUAAGUAUCCCACCUGGGGAGUACGUUCGCAAGAAUGAAACUCAAAGGA
This 402-nucleotide ribosomal RNA is filed under the name uncultured bacterium. RNAcentral's name for it is "bacterial SSU rRNA". It matches the Rfam family "Bacterial small subunit ribosomal RNA", at positions 509 to 908 of the family's 1533-position model. The record is from RNAcentral.